RNAcentral lists this long non-coding RNA (1479 nucleotides) under Lonchura striata (white-rumped munia). RNAcentral describes it as "domestica (Bengalese finch) lncRNA (ENSLSDG00000003331.1)". Lineage: Eukaryota; Metazoa; Chordata; Aves; Passeriformes; Estrildidae. The record is from RNAcentral.
GGGGAUGUUGCCCUUUUUUGGCCAUUUUAGGGACUAUUUUGUCGCCCCCGCGGGGCCCUUUAUAAGGACGGGGCAGCGCCGGCAGCGCCCGGCCGGAGCCAGCCCCGCCACGGCCCGGAGCUGCUGGAUUUUAUCCAAAAACCUCCGAAAAACGGCUUUAUUUCCUGCCGAGAGCUCGAAAAAUGCCUUUAUUUCUUACCCAGAGCUCAAAAAAAUGGCUUUAUUUCUUACCCAGAGCUCAAAAAAAUGGCUUUAUUUCUUACCCAGAGCUCAAAAAAUGGCUUUAUUGCCGGCAAAAAGCUCUUAAAGCUGCGAUAUUUUCUAUAGAAAGAGCUCCCAAGAGUGCUUUUUUUUUUUUUUUUUCCAUAAAAGCGGCUCCUAAAUCUUUAUUUAAAAAGAGAUGAAAGCGGUUUCCUUUAAGGAAAACGGAGCUCUUAAAGCUGCUUGCUUUCAAUUUAAAAAAAAAAAAAAAAAUCCUUAAAUUGCGGCGAUUCCAGUAAUGGGAAAAGCCGGGGCGAGCUGGGGCAUUUUAACUGAAAAAAAAAAAAAGAAUGAAAACCCUUCCAAAAAGCUCUUAAAGCUGGUUUUUAUUGAAACCGAAGCUUCUAAUGAUGGUUUGGAAGAAAUCGCUGCUUUCAAAGCAGAUUUCUGGGAGAGGAGGCAGCUCUCGCAGCUCUUUAAUUCUUAAUAUAUUUUAAUAUGAUACUUGAAAAAAGCCGGAGCGAGCUGGGGCGGUUUUAAUUUCUUUAAAAAGAGCUUUUAAAGCUGCUUUAAUUUAAAGAAAGAAAAAGCGCUCGAUACGCUGUUUUCUGCUAAAAAAGCUCCUAAAUUUAUUAUUUUUUUAAUAAGAAAAAGCUCUUAAAGCUUAAAAUAAUGGAAUUUAGUCCCCACGUGGGGCCGGGCCGGGCAGCGCAGGCGGGGGCGGCCGGUUUGGGGUGAAAUGCGGCAUUUUCAGACGCAGGAUGGAUUGAGAGGAGCCAAUUUUGAGGGAAGAGCAGGAAAACUGAAGAGUGAAGAUGGAAUCGGCAGGGAAAGGAAAGUUUUUCUUCGCAGUGGCCCCAUCUGGGGGGAAAAAAGGACUUUUUGGUAAAAUGGCGGCAGUUGGGCAGGGGAGGAGCAGAGAGAAGAGAGGAAAAAAGGAGAGAAAGACAGAAAAUAGAACAAAACAAAAAAGAAAAUAGAAGAAAAUCAGAAAAAAAUUAGAAAAAAAUAGAAAAAAGAAAACGAAAUUGAAAAAAUAGAAAUUGGAAAAGCGAAAACUGAAAAAGCAUAGAAAAAAUGGAAAAAUAGAAAAUAGAAAAAAGAGAAGAAAGUUGGAGAAUAGAAGAAACUAGAAAAACUAGAAAAUUUGAGAAAAUAGAAGAAAUUAGAAAAAAAGAAAAUCGAACAAAUAGAAAAUAGAAGAAUCUAGAAAAAUAAUAGAAAAAAUGAAAAUAGACUGUAAAUAAAUAGAAAAAUUACAAUUGGGAAAAAUGAAAC